AAUAAUAAUAAUAAUAAAAAAGUUAGAUAGGCAGAAGGCAGAAAAACUGGUUUACCCAUCAGCUGUGGAGAUGCAGUAGGACCUGGAGGACUGAGCAAAGAGGCAAACACUGUUUUUCUCUUUCAGUCAUUCUCACUUCUCUUAGAGAAUAUUCUGGAUUUGCCCAUGACUCAGAGGAUGACAUCAGAAAUGACACAUAACCCAUCUGCCCUCACUGAAUGGCAGUAAGAUGUCUCUGCCUCAGGGAGAUGUUGUGAAGAUAGAUUUGUUUUCCUGUAAUUUGACUGUCUGAAAUAAUUUGACUGUAUAAAUGCUAACGAUGCUGAUCUGGAGCAAUCUUCCCACCAUUUCUCGUAAUUUCUGGUGUGUAAAACAGACUGCCUUCCUCAGCUGGAAAUUCCUGUGGGGAGUUUACUGAGAAGUGAAGAGCUCAUUCUCUGCAAGUGGAGUCCCACUGUGCAUCCUGGUGUGUUCAAUUAUGAUUUUUUAGACUGUAUGUUCUCUUUAAUGUGCAUGUGUGCCACUAGGUAGAGCAAGGUAAGGACAGAACAUAGACAUGGGAGAGAGACUUUACUACCUUAUUUCUUGGCAUUUUGAAGUGAUAAUACAAGAAGAUGAUCAGCUGCUUUGGUAGAAAGGAAUAAAUUUACUUCAUUUGUUAAGUUGAUGGAUGAAGGGAUGAUAAAGUUACUCUUGUUUAAAUUCUUUAUAUAGUGGCAUGAUUGAAAGACUAAGGCAGAUGGCAAUUUUGCAAUUGCAACUAUAUAUUUUUCAGCAAAAAAAAAAAAAAAAGAAAAAAAAGUUUUCUAAUUUUCUAACCACUGUUUUUAAGAUGUAUGUAUUACGAAGAAAAACAUUUCACUUAAAGAAACACCAAAAAACAGCAAACCAUGUCAAACUGAUAAUUGAAAAACUAAUGAAUCUUUGUUACUUGUAGGCAUUUUCUCCUGAAAGUCACAUUCCCAUCUUAACUCUCUCUCCCAGGAAGAACUAUGACCAGGAGCUCUUGUGAUGUAACUGCCUUCAUUUGUCACAAUGGGAGAUUGGUAACCAACACUGGAAACGUAUUCUGCAGAAGGAGUACAUUUAUGGAGAAGAAUAUGAACCUGUGGAAGAUGCUUCCCCAGAACCAUGAUAAAGCGGAGUCUCGGAAAGCUGGGUUUGGUCUCAGGAGCAGGAGAAACUACAUGGAAGCCAAAGAAGAAUCAGGUAUUACUGCAGUGACUAGCAGUGUGGCUGGCCUUGUAUUCUGACUAAUCAAGAACGCAGAGAACACUGUGGCUGG
Molecule: long non-coding RNA, 1285 nt
Filed under: Coturnix japonica (Japanese quail)
Lineage: Eukaryota; Metazoa; Chordata; Aves; Galliformes; Phasianidae
Description: lncRNA (ENSCJPG00005004661.1)
Source: RNAcentral